GUACAGUUUUUAUUGGAAAGAGGAGCAAACAUACAUGCAGUUGAUAUAUAUAAGAGAACAGCCCUCAUGCUUGCUGUAACUUAUGAAUGUACAGAUAUAGUCAAGCUGCUUCUUCAGAAAGGUAUUAAUAUCUUUUUGGAAGCUGAAUGUGGAUGGACUGCAGAAGAAUAUGCUACUGUUAGUGGUUUUCAUGUGUAAGUGUUUACAUUAAAAUGUUAUUACUAAACUGAA
Molecule: long non-coding RNA, 231 nt
Organism: Ailuropoda melanoleuca (giant panda)
Lineage: Eukaryota; Metazoa; Chordata; Mammalia; Carnivora; Ursidae
Exons: 2
Source: RefSeq, a predicted model, not a curated record